Molecule: long non-coding RNA, 2160 nt
Filed under: Populus trichocarpa (black cottonwood)
Lineage: Eukaryota; Viridiplantae; Streptophyta; Magnoliopsida; Malpighiales; Salicaceae
Description: long non-coding RNA (PTRI_LNC002519)
Source: RNAcentral
GUGGGGAUAGCAUUGAGUGAAGAUGUGAUGCAGAGUGUUUAAGUAAGGUAUUGUUGUAUCAAGGGCAUUUUGAUUUGAGAGAUGGAGUGGUUUCUGCUGAGGCCUGGGUUAAGACGAUGGAAUGGGAAGGGUUAGGGAAGUACUUGAUGGCUGAGAGAAAGGCAUGGAAAGUGAAAGGAGUGCUUGCUGGGUAUGUGCAGAAGUGGGGGAGUUUUAGCAAUACUGCGGUGUUGGAGGCUGGGCAUCUUGUCCCUACUGAUCAGGCAGUGUAUUCUCCGGCAAUGACGGAGGAUUGGGUCCUAGACAAGGGGGUCUUUGCUAUUGAGCAAGGAGAGGAUUCGGCGUCAGAUUUCAGGGCUGCCGUCGGAAAUCAGUAGCUACUGCAUUGACUCUGCAUUUGAACAAAUUCCACUGUUUUUUUCCCUCAUCAAUCAUGCACCAUCUAAACGAUAUUUCAGUUUGCUAUGUAUAGCUCAGCAUAACAAUGCGUAUCACCAUACUGGGACUAAAUCAGCCAGAUUUUGAAUCCAUUAGAAUAAAACGUCAUUCAAAACUGGACCAAAAUCUUACCCAGUCGCCUAUGCAAUUCCUUCUCUCUCGUCUCUGCCAUGCUAUCUAAACAAGCUGGAAAAGUGAUAUGAACUGUCACGAAACGAGGUAGGCAUAUAUUUCAUCUUUUACCAUCUGAAAUUUUAUAGUUUGUGGGAAAUUCGCCAUUUUAAUAUCUGAUGGCUGCAAAAGAAAUCUUGUCUGGUGCAUCAUGUAUUUAAUUUAGAAAACCACUCACAGUUUUAUAGUUUUACUUCUAGAUUUACAGAAAUCUGAACUAUAGAACAAUUUUUUAUUCUUCUACAUCAUUCGCAGUAACUAUUAAUCAUUCAGUGACUUCAUUUGUAAUUAGCUUAAUCGUUUCAUUUUCAGUGGCUUUUUUGUGCAGCAAUUCGCUUUUGCUGGCAAGCAUUUCUCAGCCAGGGGAGAUCCCCGUCUCCGACAAUACUUAACAAAACCAAAAGCUACUCUCGAAGUUUCUUUGUUUAGCUAAAGUAUGUAGAUCCCCGAGGAGUUUGAUUUUUUCCCAAUAUUUUCAAGUCCUUUAUUUGUAAAGGAUUGGAAAAGUUUAGCUAAAUUCCAGAGAAAAAGUUAUUAUUUUUUAUGUUCCGAAUACCAAAUUGGUUAAUUUUAGUGUUAACAAGUUUUAUUUUAAGAAAAAACUCAAUGGUAGUUUUUCAAAGAAAAACUUAACCUGGAUUAUAGGUAUUUUGAGGAUUUUUGGGAGAUGGUUUUUUAGUUAAACGAAAACAAUAAUGAAGAAACACAGAAGAAAAUAAGUGAAAUUGAAAUGUUUGUCUCAUGGCCAGUCCCAAAAUGUAAAGGCAGCGACGCUGCUACACAAGGCAAUGGAAUAUGAGACCCCCCUUCAACGGAGGAGCACCCCAUGGAGGACCUCAACGUAUCCGGGCAUUUAUAUAUGACGUUUACUUUGGACUAUACAAACAUGAAACUUGUUUGCUCCAGUCAAGUUAAGGAUUCCUUGGACGAAUCCCCCGUCACUUUACAAAGUUCAGAUCAUAGGAAUUUCUCAAGCUUUAAACCUCAAAUAAAAAAAACCUCAGAUUAGCAUUUUGGCACAUUACUCUUUGCUAACAACAACCCAUGUAUCUCUACAUGGUGCGCAAAUUAUAGUUGUUGCAAGCUCAUGCCCAAAUCUUGUCUUCCUUGGUAGCUUAAAGGAUUAAUAAAAUAAGAAAUAAAGAGAAUUGAAAAGUAUUAUGAAAUGGAUUAUGUAAUGGCGUUUGGAGGCGGGCUUGUGAGAAGGGAAAGAUUGAUUAUGCAGAAAGAGAGAUUUGGUCAAAGAAAACUUUGAACUCAAAAAUAACUUUCAUGAAUAACCGAUCAAAGCACAAAACCCGUACUAUGAUGCCAUUGGAUUUUGAUUUCAAGGGCUGUUAAAGGACAGGGCAUCCAGUAGAGAACCUACCGGUAUUUGAGAGCCAUUGAUUGAUCUUAUCUUGUUCUCCCCUAUUUGCCUCAGCCCUCGUGCAAAAAAUUAUCAAAUACAGAAGAAAUUGUUGCAGUGAAAACAGAUCGAUCUCUCAAACCCUAGACGCCGCUAACACAAUACAUGCUUUUGCCUUUACAGGGUAGCCUCCAAACCCUAGA